RNAcentral lists this small RNA (2305 nucleotides) under Theobroma cacao (cacao). RNAcentral describes it as "sRNA Tc01v2_g011780". Lineage: Eukaryota; Viridiplantae; Streptophyta; Magnoliopsida; Malvales; Malvaceae. The record is from RNAcentral.
UGUCAGUUAUAUGCAUUUUGAGCAGUUGGUACAUGUUAUAAAUUGAUAAAUCUAAUCUUAUUCAUUAGUUAAUCAUCUAUUAUACAUGCAUUUCAUAUUCCUGAUCUUGGGUAAAUAAUGUCUUCCUCACUGUAUUUAUAGUAUUUAAUUUGUGCUAUUAGUUAAAAAAUGCUAAAAAUAUCAAGUUUAUAUUAUAGGAGCUGUCAGAGUAUCUUUAUUCUUUUACUUGCAGCGGUAGAAUGAAAAUCAAACUAAACUGAGAAAAUCUUGAAAAUAAAAAAUCUUAGCAAAAAAGGUAUAGUGUUAAUAAAUUUGCAACAGUUAUCUAUAGGUAUGAGCAUAAGAGCCUCUACACAUUUAGGAACCAAUAGCUGGAAAGGCAUAAAUAGGUAAGAGCCUGUGCAAGGGGCUGAUAUCCUUCCUUAAGGUGAGAUAUACCUUGACCCAAGCCACAGACUGGGUCCAGGGAUGCCGGUGCAUAUAUGAAGCCAUUUUUGAGCAAAUUAUAUUUAAGCCAUUACCACCACAAACUUGAGGUCAUGAUACUUGGCCAACCAUAUCUAACUACUAGGGUUACCACCCUGCAAUGCUGGCAAAUAUGUCAUUUGCAAAUAGUGCAUAAUUAGAUAUAGAAGUAUCUGAGCUUGUGAAAAAUUAGGAAGGGAAAGUUGAAUUAGUUUUGCACAGAUGUGGAGCAUGCUGGAUGGUUCUCAAGACUAUGGACAGCCCUGUUGGGCAAAACAAAGUUCCAACUGAGUUGGCUUUGCUUUUCUAACAACUGUCCUUUUUUCUACUGCUAAUUUGAGCAUGUCUUGUGCCAGUGUUAAUCCAUUCACAUUUCGUAAUUGCAAGGGUUGAGAAAUGUGUCUACUUUCCUGGUCUUGGAUGAAAGUUAUUUUUAAUACUGUGGCCCUGUGGGGGAUUGUGUUGCACGCAAGUACCAAAGAAGAGGUGGAGAGGCAAGUGAGGGGAGGGAAUCCUUAGAGAUUUCAGGUACCGGUGGCAGUUUGCCAAUAUAGUGUUGCUUUUGCAGCACUGAUUUUGGUUGGCCUUCCUAUUGGAUCUGCUUGAAGCAAGGUCGGGAUUUUAGCAGGGUAAAACAGGUUUUUGGAAAUCCGAUCAUGGUUGUUUCUAAAAAGGUUCCUCUAAUGGUACAGAUUUGUCCACUCAAGAGGAGAAUAUUUUACCAGAUACUGGUAUCUUCCACCAUUUUGUCCUAAAGUUUCCACAUUCUGUUGCAAGGCUGUCUUCUUGGCCUCCUUCACAAGUGCAAUUGAUGUCCCAUAGACAGUGACUAGUGAUGGGAUUUAUGAAAUGGAAGAUUGGCUUGCCCAAAUAGUCAAAGCUUUCAAUAAGCUUUUGUGCUGAGCCUGGUUCUGCUGAGUCAGUCUGUCUAAUCAUGAACAUUGAUGAAAAAAUUGGUGGAGUAGAAGGUUCUUUCAAGUGAGAAUGGUUAAACUUGAUUUCUACAGUUCCAUCAGCUUUUUUGGUAAAAUUGGUUUCUGUGGACUGAAUGGAAGUUUUGGCUUCUUGCAACUUUUCAUAAUUGGUGAUCCAUUUUUCUGGGAGUUUGGCAAGGUCCUUUCUAGGGAUUCUUUUGGGAACAAAUGAGCAAAUAGGAGCUUGUGAUGUAUUUAUGGCUAAAACCAGUGCAUCAUUUGAGCUUGUUUGAAUUUUAGAAAGAUUAAAUGCUUGGUCUUGAACUCUAUAAACCAUCUGGUAAUGGAGUAUUGCUAUAAUAGCAUAAGGUAUUUAUGGAGCUCCUAUGAUCUGAACUUGGACCUUUAAGGCAGACAAUAGGUUGGGUUCACAAAGGGCCAUAGUAUAAUUUAGGAAUAGAGUGACAAUUAAUGUUCCUGUGUUUAAGGUGGCUUCAACAGUACCAAUACAUGCAUGCUCGUACUUUAUGUACUUGGUAUCAAGUAAAGCCAUUCGGGUCACAACUGGUUGUCCUUCUCUCCCAUGAUAGUUUAGUGCUAGUUUGACUGCUCCAAAAUUGAUAUGUGAAUACCCAUGCUGAAUCCAUUGCUGUGGAAACUCAGGAGGUAUCUAGAGCGUAACAAACUGUUCUGCUUGAUCUCCUUGGAUGAAGUGUUUAUCAAAUCUUGUGGACUAGAUGUAUUCUUUUGGUGCUUUUGGAGAGUGUUUAAUUAAGGCCUUUAUGGAUUUUAUAGGUGAGGAGGUAGGUUUUGCAUAUAGGCAGAGUAAAGAUUAGUAAGGGGGAGCUGAGAUGGUUGGGUUUUUUUUUCUUCAAGGAUGUAAUCUACUUCAUAUAAGAAAUCUAUUUCGGAGAUGGAUUUUCUAA